UACGUAGGGUGCGAGCGUUGUCCGGAAUUAUUGGGCGUAAAGAGCGUGUAGGCGGCUUUACAGGUCCGUUGUGAAAACUCGAGGCUCAACCUCGAGACGCCGGUGGAAACCGUAAGGCUAGAGUCCGGAAGAGGAGAGUGGAAUUCCUGGUGUAGCGGUGAAAUGCGCAGAUAUCAGGAAGAACACCCGUGGCGAAGGCGGCUCUCUGGGACGGUACUGACGCUGAGACGCGAAAGCGUGGGGAGCGAACAGG
RNAcentral lists this ribosomal RNA (253 nucleotides) under uncultured bacterium. RNAcentral describes it as "partial 16S ribosomal RNA". It matches the Rfam family "Bacterial small subunit ribosomal RNA", at positions 524 to 776 of the family's 1533-position model. The record is from RNAcentral.